CGGGGUAAACUAACUCUUUAAUAAGCUCUAUCAUUGAGUCCAUUCCUCCUUCAGUAAUAUUCCAGUCAGAUUUAAUACUCAACAAUCUAACAACAAAAGACAAACGAGAGUGCGAACACCUGUCAAACAAAAGAUGACUAACAACAUGCAAUUGUUCAUAGAAUUUUCCCGCUUCGCUAUUAGGAAUAUGUUCAACAUUUUUUAUAAAGUCGCCCUCGUGUUGCAUCCCAAAAACAUUGUGCACCAUUUCUUUCAUCCUAGUAUCUUGAUAUUUACAGACCUA
RNAcentral lists this long non-coding RNA (283 nucleotides) under Capsicum annuum. RNAcentral describes it as "long non-coding RNA (CANN_LNC018649)". The record is from RNAcentral. Lineage: Eukaryota; Viridiplantae; Streptophyta; Magnoliopsida; Solanales; Solanaceae.